UACGUAGGGGGCAAGCGUUGUCCGGAUUUAUUGGGCGUAAAGAGCGUGUAGGCGGCCAUACAGGUCAGCUGUGAAAACUCGAGGCUCAACCUCGAGACGUCGGUUGAAACCGUAUGGCUAGAGUCCGGAAGAGGAGAGUGGAAUUCCCGGUGUAGCGGUGAAAUGCGCAGAUAUCGGGAAGAACACCUAUGGCGAAGGCAGCUCUCUGGGACGGUACUGACGCUGAGACGCGAAAGCGUGGGGAGCGAACGGG
This 253-nucleotide ribosomal RNA is filed under the name uncultured bacterium. RNAcentral's name for it is "partial 16S ribosomal RNA". It matches the Rfam family "Bacterial small subunit ribosomal RNA", at positions 524 to 776 of the family's 1533-position model. The record is from RNAcentral.